UUUCUUUUCUUUGUCGGAAAGUCUAAAGUGCCUUUCUUUAGUGCCUUGGUCGCUGCAUGGGGCCUUGGUCAAUAACAUUCCUCCCUCACCCUGCGGAAGGAGACGGGCCAAGCAAGACAUGGCUGAAUGAAAUUCCUCUCACCUCACCCCGUAAACAUCCCAAGAGUCUGGCCCCAUUAUGGCUGGGUACAAAAGUCUGGGUCCGAGGCCGAACAAAAGGAUGGGGAAGAAAGUGCAGGUUGCCAGGGCAACGCUGUCCAGGCUGCCUGGUUUUAUCAGCAAGGGGCCUGGGUUUUCUGCCUGAGUUACGGGAAUCUGAGGCAAUUUAUUUCCACCGCAAGACAGAGGCUUUAGAGGGCAGCGUGGUGAGGCUCCGGCUUCGCUUUUGGUGUUCGCAGCAGGGCAGGUGAGGUGGGAGCAGCCGGGUACCCAGAGAGCCAGCAGCAUCCUGGGAGGCACGGGGAGCACAGCAACGCCCAGGGAGUCCCCUGCAAAGGUUAACACAGAAUGGUGACCCUCCAGGGAGUCUGUCCAAUCUGCCCCUUACAUGAUUUGGGCUCUGUCCCGGCCUCCUCUACAACACAUGAAGUCUGCUCGUCCGUCUGUUCAGAGUCCAUUCAUCUCUCUUGACUGAGGAUGGACUUCUCUCUGCUUGGGGACCCCAGUACCCUGGCAGGUUGGAUUAAAUUGGGGAAAACCGGUUUUUUCAGUAGCCUGACGGAGAGGGUUUUACAGUUUAAUUCAGAGAGGCUUUUACAGUUUAAUCCAGAUGAAGGCUGGUUACUUCUAGGCCUAGUGUUGUCUGCACUAGAGAUGAUCUGGUCCACUCCCAGAGAGCAUCAAAGUUGCCUCUGACAGGCCUGGAUUGCAGUGGGAACAUCUGGAACCCAGUGCCUGAGGGUCAAAAGAAGCAGGACUGCCAGGUCCCCUGGCACAGCAUUUAGCAAAGCUAAUGCAAAACCUUAAAGCUACCUGAGCCCGGAGGACUGGAUCUGGGAUGUGUUGGCCUCACAUUGAAAAGGACGAGGUCAGCUAUGGGAAAUUAAGUUCCAACUGGAUAAAUAUCCUUCCCCACCAGUUUUUGGUGACAAGAGACAGAAUACUCCAGAGACCUGGAAGCAGUAAAGACAACAUGGGAAACCAAGCUGACACCAAUCUUACAAAGGGUGUUACAACACUGGGGAAAGUAUCAUUCAGGCAUCCACUCAGCACAGUAGCUCUAUUGGGCAGCAAAGAUGUUCAUGAUGUGGCUCCCUGUCAGUCUGAAGAGGAUGAUAACGCUGGGUGUAGGGUCAACAUGCAAGAUAGAGAAUGAAAAAAAGCCUGAAUGGUAUAACAAAAUAAGGUACAAAAGUCAGACAUGCUGAUGUGUUAAAGCCAGGACAAGCAGGCAUUUUUGGUUUCCAAACAAACCAAAAUACCAAAAUGCAGGUGGGAUGGCAAGGUUUCCAGAGGCAGAACCUCUUGCAGAAGAGAAAGAACCACACUGAAGGUUGUGAAUGUAGUACCCACUCCUUGUUUGUUUCAUGUUUUUCCUGUGGGAUGUGGGGAGUUUGUAGGAUGGGUCAGUAGCAUGCAAAGACCUGGAACAAAAUUUGCAGGCCAGCUCGGUUAAACAGCUGGAGCAGAACCAGCUCAGCAGGCCAUGGAAAGCAUUCGGCCGAGACAGCCUGCUCAUCUCAAUUCAUCUAGACAAAUUUCUAGACAAAUGCGCCAAGCUGUGCUCAAUGGAGUGACAGGGAAAUUACUAAUUAAACUGAAGAUGGUGGGAUUAGUGGGAAGAAAUAGCAGUCGGGUACAGAAGCUGUACCUCUGGACAGAGGCAGUAGCAGGCUAGACAGAGUUCACCACUGGAGUUUCUCUGGAAUUGAUCCUGGGAUUGAUCUUGUUUAUUCUCUCCAUGAAUGAUGUUGUCAUAAGAAGUGGAAGCGCUUAGGUUAAGCCAGCUGAUGACGCAGAAGGGAGAGGCAUUGUGAAUGCAGAGGAGACAGGAGAUCAAACAGAAAGCAGCAGACAACCUUGAGCACGGAGACGCAGGAACGAGUUGAAAUUCAAGAGCACGAAAUGCAAGACUAAUCACAGGGUUGGGGUUUUUUGUGCUAGACAGGGAGUGUGUCAGUUGGACAUGACUGAGGAGGAGGUGAACUUCGUUGUAGCAGUCAUGGGUGAUUAUGAACCACCAAUGAGCUAAAGGCACAAAAAGGCGAACGAGACCCGAGGGGUUUGGGAUAUUGCCAGUAGAAGCAGGAAAUUAUUAAUAGCAUUUGCGAAGUACUGACAAGACCUCAUCUAGCAUUGGGUAGGAGUCCUGGACAGGUAGGCUGAAUUCUUGCCAGAAGCAGUGCAGAAAAAUUCUCUGAAUAUGAUCAAGAGACUGGAGAUUCUGUUUCACGAAUAAAACAAAAGAUGGAAGGAGUUAUCUUCUCCAUUGGUUUGCAAGUGAUAGCCAAGCACAGCAGAAAAACUCACAAAUUAGAAAGCAAGGAUGCUGACAACCCCAGACCCUGUGUCCCUGUGCCUCCCUCCCACCUGAAACUACCUGAGCUCUUGCCCUCCACAGGAUCUCUUCUGCAGAGAGACCAUUUGCACCCUCCUCCUUCCCCCUCCUCGCCUUCGUGCCUGGAAACUGAUCCCCACUUCAACUCUAAACAGGCAAAAAGAAAAGGAAAGCCAGUAGACUGGGUCUUUUGUACAGCAAAGCAGAUUAGGGGCCUCCCAGGGACUUGCAGCUUGUAAGAGGGAAGGGCUGGGAGAUGGAGGGAGGUAGGGGGGUGGCUCUGCUCUCCUCCACAAACAGUGAAACUCAGACCUGCCUUUGGUCUGCUCCUUGCAAAGUCUUUUUUGUCCCCCUUCCUUCCUGUCCCCCCCCUUCCUGUCCCCCCCCCCCCGCUUGACAUUGUGGACCAGCUUUUGGGGGCUAGGAUCUUUUCAGUUCCUGCAAUGGAUUUAAUUCCUGAAACGUGUGUCCUGUUCCCCGCUCCCGUGCUGAAUCAGGAAAGCAUUCACCCAAACAAAAGCCAAAUCUCCCUCCUAGGGGCAAUCAGGAAAAGGGGUCCCUGCAGUGGUCUCUGGUUUGAAGACAAAAGGUUGCUUGAACUAUAGACAAGCGGGUUAGUGCCACCAUGGAUUAUAGAAACAGCUGUGGAAGCAGGGAUUAGCCACCACCUGUGUGACAAAGGCUACAGGUCUCCAGUCCCAGGGCCAGCAGAACACAUGGCAGAGGCUUUGUGCUACCUGUCUGCCUGAGCUUGACUCUUCAGGUGCUUUCUUUAUUCUCAACUUGCCCUCACCAAAUGCAAAGUGCUUAGGCUAGGAUGAGCCAGACUUGCCUAGACCCAGGUUUGGGCAAUCUUGGCCUCUUUUAAUUUGAGUUGACUGAUUCCCUCUGUCCUACAGCCCAACUCCUCUUUGGCUGUGAGCUGUAGGAAAUGACUUGGUGUGGUGAGCACACUAAGGCAGAGCAAUGCCUGGGUACAGGGGAAGCACAGACCCUGCCACUGCCACUGGCACUGAGCUGCUCCUCGUGCAGCAGCUUGGUCUGCCAUGGGGGACUGGCUUUCUUAAAGCCUCUUGACUUGAAGGGAAGCUGCUACACCUUUUUAAGUGCUCUGUAAUGUCCUACUUGUUGGUGUGUCCAUGCAGCACCCCAUCCCUUUAGCCCUUCUAGGCUCAAGCUUUGUCCUCUGUAAAACAGCCAUGGCAUAGACCCAUCCUCUGGCAGGGGACUUGCAAAGCUAAAAUCAUUACUAGUUUUGAAACAUUCAGCUAUUUUAGUGAACUCAACUGAAAAGCUUUUUAGGAGACUAAUAAUCCUACCUCCCUAGCAGAGAUUGAAUAAUGUGCAGUAAAUCCUGCCUCAGGCUUCAUGCACUGAACAACACGGUGGAAAAGCCUUGUGAGAUUUUUUGCUAACGGUGCAAAGUCUGUCCUCUGUGUGGCAUGAAGGAGGGUCCCCCAGAAAAUAGCUUAGCUGUGGAAUUAACUCUAAAUGUGCUGCAACCAGAUUGUUUUGGGCAACUUCAUGUGUACAUGCAUGUUUUGUUCUGUAACAGUUGGUUAUACAGUCCUUUUUGUCAACAGGUUUUCGAGUUAAACUUUAAACAAAAAACCUCACCAGAAGGGUAAUCCAACACUGGAAUUGUCUGCCCAGGGAGGUUGUGGGGUCUCCAUCCUUGGAGAUACUCAAAACCUGAUGAGAUGUGGUACAAAUCAACCUGCUUGAGAUGGAUCUUCUUUGAGCCAGGCAGUCGGACUACAUGGUCUCCAGAGGCUCCUGCCAACUUCAAUUGUUCUUUAAUUUUUAAAAAGCUGUAGAAGGAUGAGUUAGCCUCUAAAUUUCAGGACACAAGAUUUGCCAUGGGAACUGACUAUCCAGAUGCAAAAGCACUGAGCCUGCAAUCCCUUGAGCUGAGGGCAAGGAGACACCCUGCUACCCACAGAGCAUGAAAAGCCUUUUCUCUUUGCUUCUUCCAUUCAGCCAAGAGAAAAAGACAGUAGUGGGGGCCUGAAUUAUGGCACUUGUGGGUUCUUCCUGUUGCUGACAAUAACGAGGGGCAGCAUUAGUUUCCAGGCAACUGAUUUGGUGUCUUUCCAAGGGCCUCUGGCAGUGGGGUUUCUCACUGAGGACCCUGGUUUCUUCCCUUCCCUUUGUAAGCAUUACACUCUCACCUAAAUUGCAGACUCCACUCUCCUGGUUGCAGGUUUUUUGACAUCCUUGCCUUUGAUUUUCAGAUCCUCACAGUUUUUUUUAAACAUGGGUUCUCCUCAGGGAAACUCCCAAAGAUGGUGGAUCUGCAGGUGCAGCAACACCAAGUGAGUGUGGUCGAGAUUAAAAGCUGGGCUGGUGAGGGUGGCAGAAGGCACAGAGGUAAGGUACAGCCCCAGAGAACAUGAACUUGGUGCUUCAGAUUGGGAAACUGGGAUCAGCACACAGCUUUGACAGACCUUCAUGUCUACAAACCUACAAAUGCUACAAAGCCACUCAAAACAGAGCUAUCUGAACUUCACCAAGUCCCCACCUUGAAUCGUGGUGCUACUGCAGCAGGACCUAAGGCAAGAGACACCCAUGAUGCUGCUAAAUGCCACAGCAUAUUCCCUGCUAAAAGUGGGGCUGCUUCACUGCUGAGUCUGUGGCUUCUGAAGGAGAAUAAAAACACCGGUCUUUACCAGAUAAAGCUCAAUAAAGCUGGGUAAUUCCAAGAACAAAGGAAAUUAAAUUCUCCAGACUGCACUGUAGAAGUGACCCACAAUGUUCUGUGGUCCAAACCCGUGUAGAAUUAUGAUUCUUUUAGGCAUAGAGACCUGACUUUUUAGAAUGAUGGACUUUUUUUCCCUGGAACUUUACUUUUAGUCUUUAAAAUGGAAAAUUCCAGAAGAGAAGGAGAAAUUACAGGUUCCUAGGAACAUCAAGGAUCAACUGUUUCCUAGCAGAAGGCAAGACAAGAGCCAAAGGCGACCCCAGUACAGGCUCAGCCCUCACUAGUCAGGGCCCUCUUGUGUUACACUCGCAGCCUGGGAAGAGGGGGAACUGGAGCUGGGAAUCAGAAUGUUCAGAUCAACCCCAGGGAAGCAGCAAACAUACCAUUUCAUACAACAUGAAAUGAGAUCUAACAGGGAAGAGGAGAGGGAAGGUGGAGGGGGAUCCAUUAUUCAUGAAGGCAACAGUAGUACAACAGAGCUUGCACAGACCCAGGCAGCGCUGGAUAAGGUUACUGCAGAAACAAGGGUUGGUAAUGGUAUGCCAAAGCUCUGCUUCUUGGGUGUAGAAAGCAGAGAGGCAUUGAGUCCUUCCUUUUCCUUUCUUUCCCCUUUCUUUCCCUUCCCUUCCUUUCCCAGCACAACACUCUCCUGGGGCAUAUGACAUCAGAAACAAGCUUCCUUGGAAAGCUCUACUCAUGGUCUGUUGAGGAAGAUUUGGGAAGUUAGAAACCUGUAGAACACAGGAGGAGGGAGAAGCGGACCCCAGAGAGAUAGCAGACAAGUGAGAUCAAGGUUCUCCACCUCUCACCAAGGCUGAUUCUGAUUUCCUCAACAGGGAAACCUAUCAGGGCUUGGCACUUGUCUCAAAUGACAGCACGUGUUUGCUAUGGUUCUGUGGUUUCUCACAAAGCAAUGGUUUUUUGUUUUGUUUUUUUUUCCAGUUUGCUGCUUUCUCUUUUUUCUCCUUGCAAACAGAGCUGCUGGCUCCUCUCUGGCAGGCUGGCUGUGGGACACCAUUUACAGAUGGAUGGGUGAGCAGGUACCUGUGUAGCGCUGACUGUUGCAACAUGGAGGACAUAUCUCAGCAGUUGUCCUGAGGAAUUAAACAUCCCUGGAUGUUUGGACAGGAAACUGGGCUCUGGCUUUGCACUGCUUGGCUUGGAAAUACCCUAAGAGUAAAAAAGAGGAAGCAGAUCUGUAAUCCUGGAGGUGGUGGAAAAUGAACUAUUUCCUACCCUGGACAGCUUGCGCAAGGCAGAAAUGUGUGCAGGCUUGUGCAGUGAAGGUGAUCCCUCCACUCAGCAGCUGAGGAGGCCCUGGGAUUGUGACACUCUUGUGUAGGGGCCACUUUGAUGGACUAGAACAUGUGCUGAAUCACACCCUUGUGCAAAAAGAGCUCUUCCUCAGCUGAGGGACGCUUUGCAGGAUCAGACUCUGCUGGUGCUGCAGGAAGUGCUGACAUCAAAUCAGUGCAUGUCAUUGCCAGGCUGUGCCUGGAGGGAUGUAUGGCUUGAGCACACUGGCUUGGAUCAUGUCCCAUGUGUAGUACUAGGGCUGCCAGGCACUGCAGCCAGAACACUUAGUGCUCACCUGGAAUACAUUGCACGAUAUAUUUAGAAUGCCUUUUUUUUUAAUUUCCCAUUGCUUUUAAUUGCAUUCAGCUAUUUUGAUAUUUCUGCCGGUGGUCGGCCACAUGGUUUUGCAAAAAAAAGCCACCAUUGAGCAGCGUGUGGGCCUCGUGUCUGCCUGUGAGCCAGGUCCCAUCUGGCUGUAAUUACUAGCUUCACAUCAGCAAAAGAGUGUAAUAUUUAAAUACAAAUGUUUGAUGUUUGCAUAGCAAACCUCAGGAUGGAAAGCUCUUGAUAAUCAGCCUGCAGGGAGGAGGUGGGCUUGCUGCAGGUGAGCACUGAGGUGUGUGGGAUGCAGCAAGACUUUGUGGGGUUUUAUGGGGAUAGAGAGAAGAGCAACACUGAAUUCAGAAGCCCUUCAUGCCUCGCUCUGGGCAGAAGCUCCACACAGCAUUGUAAUCCUCAGUCUUAGGCAGAUGGGCUAUGAGCAGGGCAGAUGUGAUGCAGGGCAGAUGACCCUGCCAGGAAUCUCCCAUAUCCUCGCAUUCAGAACAUGUGAGGAGGUCACUGAAGCUUGCAAAAUGGUAGAAGAGCUCCUGAAAUCAAUACAGGCUCCCUGCCCUCAGUAGUAGCCAUCAGGAUGGAUAACAACCCUUGUUAGGUUUCAGCAGCUCAGGCACCAGCCGUGCCUGGAGAGCAGGGAGCUGGAGCCAAACUCACAGAAACAUGGACAAUCUAUUGCACCAGCCCCUAAACACUAAGCUUGGGACCACAGCAAGCAUUAGCCACUUUGUCUGGCAGAGAUAAGAUCCAACCCAUAGUACCCUUCCAAAGAACCUUCCCCUGCUUGUAGUGAACACAAGUGUGAGAUCUCUUGUGUACAGCACUUUGCUUCUCUGCCCUUCAAUCCCAGUCCUUUGGGGAAGGAAAACAACAAGCUUGUACUGCACCCUGCUCCAAUUGGGACGACAAAGUGAGAAAACGGCUUCAUCUGCUCCCAGGCACGUCUGGAAGGUGACAGACACGUGUGCUGCCUGCAGCAUCCUCUGUUUAGCAUUAAGGUCCAAGCACAACCGUGCACACCCAGCCAAAUGAGAGUCCUGGAGCUGCUGCCUGCUGUGCCACCUCCUGUAGGGUACACAGCACCCUUGUUUUGCUCCUGAUGGAGAAGAAAAGCCAUGCCUGGAGAUGGCUUUCGUUCAUAAUGCCAUCACAGGGCUAGCAGCUGGCUCUUCCUGAGCUUGUCCAGACAAGGUUCAACCUGUCACAACUCGUCAUUUUAUAAGUGCAGGAGGCUAGAGCCUAGGAUAACAGGAUACUAAUAGGAUAACAAAUGCCUCCUCACUGUCUCAGGGGGUUUGGGGACCUAUUCUCUGCAGCUUGCACACCCAAGGUGAGCCAGCCCUACUGUCGUCACUGCCUCCGAGGAGCAUUGCUCAUCUUGACAAACUUUAAAGCUGCAUCCUGACAGACCAAAAUAAAUCAAUCAAUAAAUAAAUCGUCCGUCUCGUCUA
This is a long non-coding RNA of Corvus hawaiiensis (hawaiian crow), 8281 nucleotides long. RefSeq lists it as uncharacterized. NCBI's taxonomy places the organism in Eukaryota, Metazoa, Chordata, Aves, Passeriformes, Corvidae. The transcript has 2 exons. The record is from RefSeq and is a predicted model, not a curated record.